This is a non-coding RNA of Acanthosepion pharaonis, 97 nucleotides long. Lineage: Eukaryota; Metazoa; Mollusca; Cephalopoda; Sepiida; Sepiidae. The record is from the annotation of a GenBank genome assembly.
CAUUGAAACACCGGUUUUCGUACGAUCAACGACGUUAAGCAACGCCGAGCCUGAACAGUAUCUUGAUGGGUGACCGCUUGCGAAUACCAGGAGCUGU